RNAcentral lists this ribosomal RNA (381 nucleotides) under uncultured eukaryote. RNAcentral describes it as "partial 18S ribosomal RNA". It matches the Rfam family "Eukaryotic small subunit ribosomal RNA", at positions 592 to 976 of the family's 1831-position model. The record is from RNAcentral.
CAAUAGCGUAUAUUAAAGUUGUUGCGGUAAAAAAGCUCGUAGUUGGAUUUCUACCGAAGAUAGCCGGUCGGGUCUUCGACCUUGUAUCUGGUUUUGUCUUUGGUAUCCUCAUAGGGAACGUUUCUGCGCUUUAUUGCGUGGUGCGGUAUCUAUGACUUUUACUUUGAGGAAAUUAGAGUGUUCACGGCAGGCAACCGCCUUGAAUAUAUUAGCAUGGAAUAAUAACAUAGGAUCUUCGUCCUAUUUUGUUGGUUUCUAGGGCUAAGAUAAUGAUUAAUAGGGAUAAUUGGGGGCAUCUGUAUCAACGCGUCAGAGGUGGAAUUCUUGGAUUGCGUUGCGACAAACUACUGCGAAAGCAUUUGCCAAGGAUGUUUUCAUUGA